RNAcentral lists this ribosomal RNA (1255 nucleotides) under Lecanora pulicaris. RNAcentral describes it as "eukaryotic LSU rRNA". It matches the Rfam family "Eukaryotic large subunit ribosomal RNA", at positions 34 to 964 of the family's 3401-position model. Lineage: Eukaryota; Fungi; Ascomycota; Lecanoromycetes; Lecanorales; Lecanoraceae. The record is from RNAcentral.
CUAAGCAUAUCAAUAAGCGGAGGAAAAGAAACCAACAGGGAUUGCCUCAGUAACGGCGAGUGAAGCGGCAACAGCUCAAAUUUGAAAUCUGGCCCCUUCGGGGUCCGAGUUGUAAUUUGUAGAGGAUGUUUCGGGCGCGGUGCCGGUCUAAGUCCCUUGGAACAGGGCGUCACAGAGGGUGAGAAUCCCGUAUGUGACCGGCCGCCAACCCCAUGUGAAACCCCUUCGACGAGUCGAGUUGUUUGGGAAUGCAGCUCAAAAUGGGUGGUAAAUUUCAUCUAAAGCUAAAUACCGGCCAGAGACCGAUAGCGCACAAGUAGAGUGAUCGAAAGAUGAAAAGCACUUUGGAAAGAGAGUCAAACAGUACGUGAAAUUGUUGAAAGGGAAGCGCUUGCGACCAGACCUGUCCGUGGGUGAUCAGCCUCUGUUCUCAGGGGUGCACUCGCCCGUGAUCAGGCCAGCAUCGGUUCGGGCGGCGGGAUAAAGGCCUUGGGAAUGUAGCUCCCCUCGGGGAGUGUUAUAGCCCUCGGUGCAAUGCCGCCAGCCCGGACCGAGGACCGCGCUUCGGCUAGGAUGCUGGCGUAAUGGUCGUAAGCGACCCGUCUUGAAACACGGACCAAGGAGUCUAACAUCUAUGCGAGUGUUUGGGUGUCAAACCCAUGCGCGGAAUGAAAGUGAACGGAGGUGAGAACCCCUGAGGGCGCAUCAUCGACCGAUCCAGAUGUCUUCGGAUGGAUUUGAGUAGGAGCAUAGCUGUUGGGACCCGAAAGGUACGGAUCUCCCAAUAUUCUAACGUGCGGCGAAGCCCGAGCUAACUGAUUUUUAGAUGGUGAACUAUGCCUGAAUAGGGUGAAGCCAGAGGAAACUCUGGUGGAGGCUCGCAGCGGUUCUGACGUGCAAAUCGAUCGUCAAAUUUAGGUAUAGGGGCGAAAGGUAAGAUACGACCGUCUGUUUUUAUGGUGUACGAAUGCUAACAUUUUCCCACAGACUAAUCGAACCAUCGCGCUAGGUGGGUAAUUGGGGCGUUCCCGGGGUGCGGCCCCCCGGGCGCCCGUCCAGUCCUCCGGGGCAACAUCACCACCUGCAUGGAUGCCCGAAGGCUGAUAUGCUGCGGUGGGACCCCACGGGGUCUCCCGUCCACAGACCAAAUGGUGGUGGCCCGAGCCUUGUAAGCAUCAAGGCUUGGGUUUAGAAAUGGCCGAGUCCUGCUCGCCUCGCCGAGCAGAUAGAGACGCUAGUAGCUGGUUCCUGCCGA